This 86-nucleotide transfer RNA is filed under the name Alkalibacillus salilacus. Its description in RNAcentral is "tRNA-Leu". It matches the Rfam family "tRNA". Rfam says of the family: Transfer RNA (tRNA) molecules are approximately 80 nucleotides in length. RNAcentral also lists the same sequence under 3 other names. Lineage: Bacteria; Bacillati; Bacillota; Bacilli; Caryophanales; Bacillaceae. The record is from RNAcentral.
GCGGCCGUGGCGGAACGGCAGACGCGCUAGGUUGAGGGCCUAGUGGGGUUUUCCCCGUGGAGGUUCAAAUCCUCUCGGCCGCACCA